AAACUAACAAGGAUUCCCCUAGUAACGGCGAGUGAAGCGGGAAGAGCUCAAAUUUGAAAUCUGGCAGUCUUCGAUUGUCCGAGUUGUAAUCUAUAGAGGCGUUUUCCGUGCCGGACCGUGUCCAAGUCUCCUGGAAAGGAGUAUCAAAGAGGGUGAUAAUCCCGUACUUAACACGACCACCGGUGCUCUGUGAUACGUCUUCUACGAGUCGAGUUGUUUGGGAAUGCAGCUCAAAAUGGGUGGUGAAUUCCAUCUAAAGCUAAAUAUUGGCGAGAGACCGAUAGCGAACAAGUACCGUGAGGGAAAGAUGAAAAGCACUUUGGAAAGAGAGUUAAACAGUACGUGAAAUUGUUGAAAGGGAAACGAUUGAAGUCAGUCGUGUUCUUUGGAUUCAGCCAGUUCUGCUGGUCUACUUCCUUGGAACGGGUCAACAUCAGUUUUGUCCGGUGGAUAAAGGUAGUAGGAAUGUGACUUCUCCGGAAGUGUUAUAGCCUAUUAUCACAUACACUGGGUGAGACUGAGGACUGCAGCUCGCCUUUAUGGCCGGCCUUCGGGCACGUUCGAGCUUAGGAUGUUGACAUAAUGGCUUUAAACGACCCG
This 600-nucleotide ribosomal RNA is filed under the name Trichosporon asahii. RNAcentral's name for it is "eukaryotic LSU rRNA". It matches the Rfam family "Eukaryotic large subunit ribosomal RNA", at positions 62 to 651 of the family's 3401-position model. Lineage: Eukaryota; Fungi; Basidiomycota; Tremellomycetes; Trichosporonales; Trichosporonaceae. The record is from RNAcentral.